RNAcentral lists this ribosomal RNA (511 nucleotides) under uncultured bacterium. Its description in RNAcentral is "partial 16S ribosomal RNA". It matches the Rfam family "Bacterial small subunit ribosomal RNA", at positions 28 to 523 of the family's 1533-position model. The record is from RNAcentral.
GACGAACGCUGGCGGCGUGCCUAAUACAUGCAAGUCGAGCGAUGAAGGAGAUACUUGUAUCUUUUGAAGAGCGGCGAACGGGUGAGUAACGCGUGGGGAAUCUGCCAAUGAGUGGGGGACAACAUUUGGAAGCGAAUGCUAAUACCGCAUAAAAUCUAUUGAGACAUCUCAAGAGAUUGAAAGGAACAAUUGUUUCGCUCGUUGAUGAUCCCGCGUUGUAUUAGCUAGUUGGUGAGGUAAGGGCUCACCAAGGCGAUGAUACAUAGCCGACCUGAGAGGGUGAUCGGCCACAUUGGGACUGAGACACGGCCCAAACUCCUACGGGAGGCAGCAGUAGGGAAUCUUCGGCAAUGGACGAAAGUCUGACCGAGCAACGCCGCGUGAGUGAAGAAGGUUUUCGGAUCGUAAAGCUCUGUUGUUGUUAAAGAACGUUGAUGAGAGUGGAAAGUUCAUCAAGUGACGGUAAACAACCAGAAAGGGACGGCUAACUACGUGCCAGCAGCCGCCGUAA